This 31-nucleotide ribosomal RNA is filed under the name Exserohilum rostratum. RNAcentral's name for it is "partial 18S ribosomal RNA". The record is from RNAcentral. Lineage: Eukaryota; Fungi; Ascomycota; Dothideomycetes; Pleosporales; Pleosporaceae.
AUUCGUAGGGGGGGACUCGGAGGGAUCAUUA